RNAcentral lists this long non-coding RNA (4448 nucleotides) under Sus scrofa (pig). RNAcentral describes it as "lncRNA (ENSSSCG00015006649.1)". The record is from RNAcentral. Lineage: Eukaryota; Metazoa; Chordata; Mammalia; Artiodactyla; Suidae.
GCAGAUGGCUACCUUCUACCUGUGUCCUCACGUGGCGGAGAGAGAAGUCAAGUCUCUGUCUCUCUCUCUUUUCUUCAAAUGGCUGCACUCGAGGCAUAUGGAGAUUCCCAGGUUAGAGGUUGCAUGGGAGUUGCAGCUGCCGGCCUACGCCACAGCCACAGCCAUGCCAGAUCUGAGCCGUUUCUGCCACCUACACCACAGCUCACGGCAAUGCCAGGUCCUUAACCCACUGAGCGAGGCCAGGGAUCGAGCCCAAGUCCUCAAGGAUACUAGUCCCAUUCUUCACCUGCUCAGCCACAGUGGGAACUCCUGUGUCUCUUCUUACAAGGGAGCUCACCACUUCUUUAUCUGACUCCUGAUUACACCACCUCUGUGUCGAUGGUUUGUGUAGCACCCACGGGUAACUCAGCGAAGCUCAAUGUCCUACGAGGGGCCAAAUCGGUGCAUGGGAAAUACAGCCUCCCCUGCUGGGGCCUAAUCCAUGUUUGAAAUCGAGACUCUUCAGGAAAAACAGCCUCUCACGCCAUCCUCCACGACCCCCACAUUUUAGGGUUCACAGAAGAAUGCGGGGCGAGGUUGAACAACGGGUUCCUGGCUCUAUUUCUGGGAACAGUGUGUUUUGCUGAUUGAAGGCAGAGCCGGAAGCAGAUUCACCAUCUCAGAGGGCUGAAGUCGACCUCUCUGGUGGAUGGAUGGACACACUGCAGAAUGGAGACCCUUCCCCUCCCUGCCGAGCGGGUCAAAGAAGGGAUCCUUGACCCAUGGGGGCUCCUCACAAGGAUUUGCCGGACAAACAAAAAUGAUUCUACGGCAGCUCAACAAACUGAGCGGAGCUGUCCGGGUUUCUACAGAGAAACAGAACCAAUAGGAUGUAGACACACACACACACAGAGAUAUGGAGGAAGAAAGAAAGAGAGUGGGGGGACCUGGUCUGCACAGUUGGGGACCGUGGAGGAGGCUGGCAAGACCAAAAUGUGCAGGGCAGGCCCGCAGGCUGGCGAUGCGAGGGAGAGUCAACAGUUGAAGUCGAAGACUGUCUGGAGGCAGAACUCCCUCCGCUCAAGGCUCUCCAUCGUCUUCUAAGUCCCUCGACUGGUGGGACAAAGCCCCCCUUGGGGAGGAUCGUCCGCUUUACUCAGAGUCUGCUGACGUGCGUUAAGAUCUUCUGAAAAACACUUUUUUGACAACAUCUAGAAUCAUGUUGGACUGAAUACCUGGGGAGCAUGGCCCAUGGUGAGCAAUUAACCCUCUCACUCUUGAUCAGGUACAAACGUGUCCCCACAGUGACAGCAAGAUGUUCGGGGGCGCCAGGGUUUCAGGCUCCUUCAAGGGCAGCUCUGCUCUUAAAUGUCCUCAUUUGGGUUCCCUUUCCAGGUCUUCGUGGGCAGGAGGAUGUGCGGGCAGCCCUGGGAGAGGGCUGCCCUGCACUGGUGAGCAUCCCUGAGGCCCUGAGCUGCCCCCCGACUGCAGGACCACCAUCCUCCCUGCCCCUUCCUCUCUCCGGUGGGAAUCUCAGAGCCGCAGUGUCUGGACAACGUCAGACUCUAGAUCCCGUUCAGGGAUGCCCCCAGAGCCGUCGUGGUUUGCCCUCCCACCCCAACUUGGCACCCUGGCUUCUCCCUUCCGUACUCAUUCAUUCUCUGUCAUUCCUGCUUUGCAGCCGGGCACCGCCGUUUAAGCUUCCUGUGCAGAUUCUGACAUAAGCCCUGGACAGAUCUGGACCCAGGUCCCCUAGUUCUCAUGGGUGCACGCCCCCCUUUUUCCGUCACUAGAUUAAAGGAACGGUAGGAAGGAAGCGUUGGGUUUUUAAAAUUUUAUCCAUAGGUGGAAACUUGCUUGUGUCAAAGUUGCAGGUUACAUGAAAUCCAAGCAGCCUUGUAAGAAUUCUGAUGUCUUGUCUCUAAAUGUUUGGAAUAGCAUUCUUUCAUAGGAUCAGAGUGGGCUGCCCUGGGGUGAGAACUCGUAGGCUUUUUACCUUUUUUUUUUUUUUUUUUAACGGUGGCACCUGUCGCACAUGGAAGUUCCUAGACUAGGGGUCAAAUCAGAGCUACAGCUGCCACCUCGUCUUGUAGGGACCAGCAUGUCAUCUCAUCUCCAAACCGAAGAGCCCUUGAGAGCAAGACUGAGACACCUGCGUGUCCUUCUGGGCCUUGGAGACAGCUGUGAAUGGGGGCAAGGGGUGGUGGACCCAGGAAAGCAGGAGCAGAUUCUCAUCCCCUAAGGGUCUGGCACCCCCUAGCCCAUGUCCUGGUUGACACAGCCAAGGCCACCUAUACUUGACCAGGAUCCACCAGCCAAAGCCAAGUGCAUGGGGUCAAGGUCCCCGUGGAGUCGUGGGGUGCCUUAGAGUCAGGAGGGUCCUCCAUUCCUGGGCACGAGGUGGCCACAGAGGUGACAGAAAUGAAGCCCAGAGGUUGAGAAGAUGCAAGCAAGCCGUGCGUCUGAGCAGGAACCUUGGCGGGUCCCCAGCCUCUGCCGAGGGCGAUGGGUACCAGUCUCCUCCUCCCCCCUCCACGAGUGCUCCCCCUCAGCCCUCUUUCCUCUAGCGCUCAGGAAACUCUGCGCCCCCAGGCCCCUUGCACUUAGAUGGGGUGCUUGGCUACUCCUGGAUACCAGGCUGUAAGAGGAAUUGUGUGCCACCUCUGGGUGGGGGCAUAAGUGUGUGUGUGUGUGUGUGUGUGUGUGUAGGCUCUCCACAGGCAUCCCCACCCUGCUGUGAAGGCAAAGGGGACCUCCUAUGGAGACAGCUGAGUCAGGACACGGGAGCAGCCUGCAGGGCUGGGUCCUUGCAUGGGGACAGCUAGGUCCCCGCAUGGGGACAGCUGCCCAGUGAAGUCACAUGCCCGGUAAAGUCACAACAUCUUGCAGGCGUGAAAAAAAACUUUUGCAGUUAAAGCAACUGAGAUUUGGGGAGAUGUUUGUUGCCACAGCAGGGCCCAGCCCAGCCCAACUAAUACACGUCGGUGGAGACAGGACCACCGUUCAAGGCCAGGCUCCCAGCCCCAGGUGCCUUAUCCACCAAAGGGAGGCUGUGAGGAUGAAGCGAGGCCAUGCUUGGGGAGAGCGUGGCCUGGUGCUAAGCCAAGGUCAGACAAGUGCGUGACAGCCAUUGUGUCUCCAAAGCCCCGGCUCUGGACGCUAAGGCGCACAGGCCAGUGUCCUGGCCAUCGUCAGCAUCUGUGCGCAGGAAGGAAAGACCGAGAGAGCUCCCAGGCCAGAUGGGGGCCAGGUUUGGAGGGAGCCUCGGGAGGGAGGCCGCAGGCCAAGUCCUGCGCCAGCCCCGGCGCGCAACAGCAGUCCCGAGGACUGUCAGCCGUCAUCGUCAUAUUCCCGUAAAUGCUGCGCAGAGUGAAAGGAAAGAAUUUCAAAUAACUGGGACCAGUAUUUAAUUAUUGUGAUUUAUUAACACCAGCUACACAGAGCAGGGCCGUGGACAUGACAUCCCUCGUUCCCCAGCGAGUCUGGGAGUCUGGUUGGCCUCCUGCCGCCUCCUGCACAACUCUUUUCAUUAUCAUCAUCCUGAUUAUUUACAACAGCCCGGCCGCUCAGGAGCAGGGCGAUCGCCGUCAAGUUCACAGCAAGUUCAAGGAUCGGCCAGGAGGCCUUGGGAGCAGGGGCGAAAAUCAGAGAAGGCCUGGCGGUUGGGAAAAGGGGACUGGUGGCCGGAGGGGCUCCAGGGCAGGAGGGUAAACAUGCAAUCAGGACUAAGGGGGGUGUUUAGGGGGUGAAAGGGGGUCUACUUGCAGAAAGGUGGGCUGGAGCGACCGCUCCUCCUCUGUCAUCUCUUCCCACACCCUCCUCUUCCCACUCAAUCCUUGUGUUCAUAGAACAGUCAUGUUUUGAGCAGCCGGCGGAACCACCCCCCACACAUGGUGAGAACGGUCUGUUUGGUGGUUACAGCUGCUCUUCUGCGAGGCUUUGUCUGAUAUCUCUCCCACACCAUGCUGCUAUUCCUCAUUGACACAACUCUGCGAUUCCAGUGUUGGUCCCUGUUUUACAGGGGAGAACACUGACCCUCAGAAACUUGGCCCAGCGUCGCGGAGCUUAUGGGAAGCACCCAGGACCCAUGUCUGUCUCACCAUCUGUACUUUGCAUAGUUAUCUCUUAUUUGAAUGGGAUUCCGUUUUGUUGGUUGGUACAAGCUUUUGAAAUGGGCCUUCCUUACCCCCGUCUCUGUGCCUGGAGAGAGAAAAGGUUAAGAAUUUCAGCCCUAAACACAGUGACUGAAGAGUAGGAAGACGUUAGGAUUGGAGUUCCCAUAGCGGCACAGCGGAAACAAAUCUGACUAGGAACCAUGAGGUUGUGGGUUCAAUCCCUGGCCUCAAUCACUGGGUUAAGGAUCCGGCGUUGCUGUGAGCUGUGGUGUAGGUCACAGACGGGGCUCAGAUGUGGCAUUGCUGUGACUCGGGCGUAGGCCGGCAGCCACAGCUGCGAUGAGACCCCUAGCC